UACGGGGCGCAGCAGGCGCGAAAACUUCACACUGCAGGAAACUGCGAUGAGGGAACUCCAAGUGACUACACAUUUGUGUAGCUCUUUUCUUAACUAUUAAUCGGUUUUGGAAUAAGGGCUGGGAAAGACCGGUGCCAGCAGCCGCGGUAAU
This 151-nucleotide ribosomal RNA is filed under the name uncultured marine archaeon. Its description in RNAcentral is "partial 16S ribosomal RNA". It matches the Rfam family "Archaeal small subunit ribosomal RNA", at positions 324 to 474 of the family's 1478-position model. The record is from RNAcentral. RNAcentral also lists the same sequence under 1 other name.